GACGAACCGUCCAAACGUUAUUCGGAAUCACUGGGCUUACAGAGUUCGUAGGCGGUGCGGUAAGUUGGGUGUGAAAUCCCUUGGCUUAACCAAGGAACUGCGCUCAAUACUGCCGUGCUAGAGGGAGAUAGAGGAAAGCGGAACUGAUGGUGGAGCGGUGAAAUGCGUUGAUAUCAUCAGGAACACCGGUGGCGAAGGCGGCUUUCUGGGUCUUACCUGACGCUGAGGAACGAAAGCUAGGGGAGCAAACGGG
This 253-nucleotide ribosomal RNA is filed under the name uncultured bacterium. Its description in RNAcentral is "partial 16S ribosomal RNA". It matches the Rfam family "Bacterial small subunit ribosomal RNA", at positions 524 to 776 of the family's 1533-position model. The record is from RNAcentral.